RNAcentral lists this unclassified non-coding RNA (1812 nucleotides) under Homalodisca vitripennis (glassy-winged sharpshooter). RNAcentral's name for it is "uncharacterized LOC124367709, transcript variant X1". Lineage: Eukaryota; Metazoa; Arthropoda; Insecta; Hemiptera; Cicadellidae. The record is from RNAcentral.
UAUGGCAGGAUGUCGGCUGUGAGUAAAAUGCUAAAAAUUCAAAGCCAUGAAAUGGGCAGUGACUGUCAGUGUUUGCGUGGCUGUUUCAGACGAGUAAAUGAGACAUCUCGGAAUAAGAUUCUCUCCGACUUUAAUCUUAUGAGGUCACAUGAUGAACAAAAUAGCUAUUUAUGUGGGUUAAUAACUGUCAUACCUGUUCAGCGUAGAAGGCCUAGAGUAGAAAAUGCUAGAGAAAAUCAAGCAUCUUAUGCCUAUAAAGUACGAGUAUUGAAAGAUAACAUGUUAGUAGAAGAAAGCAUUUGUCGUAAGGCAUUCAUUUCUAUUCACGGAAUUUCCAAAGCCAAAGUUGAGUUCUUGGUUAAGAGUCUUAAAUCUGCUGGCACAUCACCAAAGGACAAACGUGGUAAACAUUUAAAUAGGCCACAUAGAGUAUCUAAUGAAACUGUAGAUCUUAUACGUGAUCACAUACAAUCAUUUAAAGGAAGAUCAUCGCACUAUAGCCUCCACAAAAGUAACAAAACCUACCUACCUGAAGAAUUGAAUGUUUCGAAAAUGCAUCAAAUGUUUCAGACAAAAUAUCCAAAUGCAAAGGUAUCAUAUGAAACAUAUAGACAAUGUUUUUGCAGUGACUUUAACAUCAGUUUUGGCUACCCCAGAACUGACACUUGCAGUAAGUGCGAUGAACUAACGGCCAAAAUUACAGGGCUACAGAAACAAUUAAAAAAUAACAGAGAAUCCGAUGAUGUUGCUAACAUUAAUAAGGAAAUAACUUCUCUUGAAAAUGAAGCAAAACUCCACAAAAUCAAAGCAGAUGUGUUCUACAAAAGGAAAACACGUGCCAAACAAUUAUGUAAGCAAUCAGUGGAACAUGAGGCCAUAAGUAUGGACUUUGGUAAGAAUUUACAAUUGCCGAAUAUUACCACUAAUGACAUCUACUACAAGCGGCAGUUAUCAAUGUAUGCUUUUAACAUACAUGAGUUGUCUAGUGCGAAAAGUAUUUUUUACCUAUAUCCUGAGACUGAAGGAAAGAAAGGGAGUGAUGAUGUUUCUUCUUUCCUACACAAUUUUGUCUAUGAACAUCUGGAUGAAAAAAAUUAGACACCUUCACAUAUUCUGUGACUCUUGCUCGGGCCAGAACAAAAACUUCACAAUGAUAAGAUUUUUACAUUAUCUUGUUUAUGAAGCAAAGAAACUUGACUCCAUCAAAGUAACAUUCCCUGUGCGUGGCCAUUCAUACAUGGAAUGCGACAAGAAUAUGGGGCUUGUCAACACAAAAUCUAAGGCAGAACUUCCUUCAGAUUGGAUUGAAGUUUUUGAAAAUGCUAGAAAGAACCCUUUUCCCUUUAAAGUUGUGAGUAUUGACAAUCAAUUCUGUAGACAGUGGACAAAAUUCUUGGACACAUUAUAUAUGAAAAAAUGCCCAUUUGCUACCAGGACUAUAAAGGAGCUUAAAAUUUCCAAGGAAGGCAAUGGUAAUGAACAAAAAUUGAUGCUGAGGAGUUCUUACUAUGCAGCGUGGGACAAAUGUUCAAUCCUGCCAAAGAAAAAAAACCCAUUCUUCAACAGUAUGUGCUGAAAAUGAAUUUCUAAUGCCAGAAAAAUCUUAUGAUGGUCCACUGCCUAUCAAGAAGGCCAAAUACAAUGACUUGAAAGAUUUAAAGAUAUUUUGUAGUAGUGCUGCCCAAGAAUACUUCACCAAUCUUCCCCAUUUGGAUGAAUAAAAUUAGGGUCUUAAAUGAAGCAAUCCAAAUUAAAUUAUAUUUUCAAUGUGCUAAGUUUUAUAUGUAAAAUAAAUAUCUGUAUUAUUUUGGA